AAAGCUCUGAGCUAUACUGCAGUCGAGCGGGAUUGUACCAGUAAUGGUGCAUGAGAGCGGCGCACGGGUGAGUAACGCGUACACGACCUACCUCUAACAGGGGGAUAGCCCUGGGAAACUGGGAUUAAUACCGCAUAUAAUUCUGAUUAUAAAAGGUUGGAAUGAAAGUUCAGGCGGUUAGAGAUGGGUGUGCGUCUGAUUAGCUAGUUGGUAAGGUAACGGCUUACCAAGGCGAUGAUCAGUAGGGGGCGUGAGAGCGUGGACCCCCACACGGGUACUGAGACACGGACCCGACUCCUACGGGAGGCAGCAGUAAGGAAUAUUGGACAAUGGCCGCAAGGCUGAUCCAGCCAUCCAGCGUGCAGGAAGAAGGCCCUAUGGGUUGUAAACUGCUUUUGUCAGGGAAGAAACCUUGGGAUUUACUCCUAAGCUGACGGUACCUGAAGAAUAAGCACCGGCUAACUCCGUGCCAGCAGCCGCGGUAAUACGGAGGGUGCGAGCGUUAUCCGGAAUUACUGGGUUUAAAGGGUGCGUAGGCGGCGCUGUAAGUCAGGAGUGAAAGUUUGCGGCUCAACCGUAAAAUUGCUUUUGAUACUGCGGUGCUAGAAUUAGGAUGAGGUUAGCGGAAUGUGGCAUGUAGCGGUGAAAUGCAUAGAUAUGCCAUAGAACACCAAUUGCGAAGGCAGCUGGCUAGACCUAUAUUGACGCUGAGGCACGAAAGCGUGGGGAGCGAACAGGAUUAGAUACCCUGGUAGUCCACGCCCUAAACGAUGCUCACUCGACGUAUGGCCCUGGAGGUUGUGCGUCCAAGGGAAACCGUUAAGUGAGCCACCUGGGGAGUACGACCGCAAGG
This 853-nucleotide ribosomal RNA is filed under the name uncultured bacterium. RNAcentral describes it as "bacterial SSU rRNA". It matches the Rfam family "Bacterial small subunit ribosomal RNA", at positions 43 to 893 of the family's 1533-position model. The record is from RNAcentral.